This 73-nucleotide transfer RNA is filed under the name Callithrix jacchus (white-tufted-ear marmoset). It matches the Rfam family "tRNA". From Rfam's summary of the family: Transfer RNA (tRNA) molecules are approximately 80 nucleotides in length. Their secondary structure includes four short double-helical elements and three loops (D, anti-codon, and T loops). Further hydrogen bonds mediate the characteristic L-shaped molecular structure. tRNAs have two regions of fundamental functional importance: the anti-codon, which is responsible for specific mRNA codon recognition, and the 3' end, to which the tRNAs corresponding amino acid is attached (by aminoacyl-tRNA synthetases). tRNAs cope with the degeneracy of the genetic code in two manners: having more than one tRNA (with a specific anti-codon) for a particular amino acid; and 'wobble' base-pairing, i.e. permitting non-standard base-pairing at the 3rd anti-codon position. Lineage: Eukaryota; Metazoa; Chordata; Mammalia; Primates; Cebidae. The record is from Rfam by way of RNAcentral.
UAGACUGAAGCCAGUUGAUUAGGGUAUUUAGCUGUUAACUAAAUUUUCAUGGGUUUAGGUCCCACCAAUCUAG